CAGAAUGCAAUUUUGACUGAAAAGACAAUGGUGUGUGGAUCAAUGUACCAUGACAGUUUGAUUUGGAGAAUAAUUGCUUUAGGAGCAAAUGAACGAUGCCUACCUCUUAUACUUGUGACAUUAGAUAGGUUAAGAUAUCAAGCCAUGUUACAUUUGGUUGGACCCUAUAAGAAGCUAAAAUGCACAUGGUUACUGAUUACUUCACCCAUUCAGAGUGGAUGGUGAUUGAUGAUGUGCUUGGGCCAAACCCUCGACAUCUAUUUGAGCUUUAUGUGCUCAAACAAAGCAAUUAUUACCAAAAUUACUUUUAAGCUUUCUCUUGCGGUUGUAACUUA
This is a long non-coding RNA of Hibiscus syriacus, 335 nucleotides long. RefSeq lists it as uncharacterized. NCBI's taxonomy places the organism in Eukaryota, Viridiplantae, Streptophyta, Magnoliopsida, Malvales, Malvaceae. The record is from RefSeq and is a predicted model, not a curated record. The transcript is spliced from 4 exons.